CGACGCCGCGUGGGGGAUGAAGGGCCUUCGGGUUGUAAACCCCUUUCACCAGGAGCGAAUUCAGACGGUACCUCGGGGAAGAAUCGCCGGACUAACCUACGUGC
Molecule: ribosomal RNA, 104 nt
Filed under: uncultured bacterium
Lineage: Bacteria
Description: partial 16S ribosomal RNA
Source: RNAcentral